Molecule: small RNA, 508 nt
Filed under: Pongo abelii (Sumatran orangutan)
Lineage: Eukaryota; Metazoa; Chordata; Mammalia; Primates; Hominidae
Description: processed transcript
Source: RNAcentral
AUUAUGCUUAAACAGUGAAAUUUUAUGUUCAUACAUAUUUAUGAUGAGAGCAAGCUCAUGAAGCUUUCAAAAUGGCCCAAUCCCUUGAUCCAUCUUAUUUAAUGUGCUGGAUUGGACAAGCUCUUAUUGCUGAGGCAGUUGGAAGUUAUGACACCAUGGAUCUCUUCAGGCACACUACAGAACUAAAUAUGCAUACCGAAGGAGCAUUAGGUUAUGCGUAUUGGGUCUGCACAACAUUGCAAGAUAAAAGCAACAGAGAAACAGAGCUGUACCAGUACAACAUCCUCCAGAUGAAUGCUAUUCCAGCAGCACAAGUUAUUUUGAAUAAAUAUGUAGAAAGAAUUCAGAAUUAUGCUCCAGCUUUCACAAUGUUGGGUUACUUAAACGAACAUCUACAACUGAAAAAGGAAGCAGCAAAUGCAUACCAAAGGGCAAUUUUGUUGUUACAGACUGCAGAAGACCAAGAUACUUACAAUGUUGCAAUAAGAAAUUACGGCAGAUUGUUAUG